GCUCCGUUAACUCAAUUGGUAGAGUAACCGGCUUUUAACCAGUAGGUUGCAGGUUCAAGUCCUGUACGGAGUA
RNAcentral lists this transfer RNA (73 nucleotides) under Eubacteriales bacterium. Its description in RNAcentral is "tRNA-Lys". It matches the Rfam family "tRNA". Rfam says of the family: Transfer RNA (tRNA) molecules are approximately 80 nucleotides in length. Their secondary structure includes four short double-helical elements and three loops (D, anti-codon, and T loops). The record is from RNAcentral. Lineage: Bacteria; Bacillati; Bacillota; Clostridia; Eubacteriales.